GAUGAACGCUGGCGGCGUGCCUAAUACAUGCAAGUCGAGCGAACGGACGAGAAGCUUGCUUCUCUGAUGUUAGCGGCGGACGGGUGAGUAACACGUGGAUAACCUACCUAUAAGACUGGGAUAACUUCGGGAAACCGGAGCUAAUACCGGAUAAUAUUUUGAACCGCAUGGUUCAAAAGUGAAGGACGGUCUUGCUGUCACUUAUAGAUGGACCCGCGCUGCAUUAGCUAGUUGGUAAGGUAACGGCUUACCAAGGCAACGAUGCAUAGCCGACCUGAGAGGGUGAUCGGCCACAACGGAAAUGAGAAACGGUCCAGACUCCUAAGGGAGGCAGCAGUAGGGAAUCUUCCGCAAAGGGCGAAAGCCUGAAGGGGCAAAGCCGCGUGAGUGAUGAAGGUCUUCGGAUCGUAAAACUCUGUUAUUAGGGAAGAACAUAUGUGUAAGUAACUGUGCAAAUCUUGAAGGUACCUAAUCAGAAAGCCACGGCUAACUACGUG
RNAcentral lists this ribosomal RNA (497 nucleotides) under uncultured bacterium. RNAcentral describes it as "partial 16S ribosomal RNA". It matches the Rfam family "Bacterial small subunit ribosomal RNA", at positions 28 to 507 of the family's 1533-position model. The record is from RNAcentral.